Pan troglodytes (chimpanzee) is the source of this 670-nucleotide long non-coding RNA. RefSeq lists it as uncharacterized. Lineage: Eukaryota; Metazoa; Chordata; Mammalia; Primates; Hominidae. The transcript has 2 exons. The record is from RefSeq and is a predicted model, not a curated record.
UGGGGCGGGUGAGUCGGCCUCGCCAGUGCGCAUGGGCGAGGCCCGAGCCGCCGCUUCGGUCACAGUGAUCGCCACCGUUGCCCGGGGAUGGGUCCCUGAGACUUGGCGAAGUGGGAGCCCUGUGUGAUCGUGCGUCAGAGUCGGGGCUGAGACCAGUCCUGGCCAGGGCAGUUGCCAGGACGGUCUCCGGAGGCCGGGAUUCGCGGAGGGUCCACCAGCAGGAAGAAACCCCAGGAGGAAGAAACCUCAGACAGAUCGCCGGGGAGGCAGCGCGGGAUCCCAGCCUCAGGCGUGCGCGGACGGUGUGCGGGUCCUGAGAAGAGGAUUAGAAAAAGGCAACACAUCAAAAAGUUAAGAGGCAGAAAUAGCUUUUGUGUUGCUGGUAAAUUUAAUGAGAUCUAAGUUAUUCGACUGGCAAGUCUCAUCUCUUUGAGCAUCUCAGUGAAGACUGUCAGAAAUCAUCAAAAUUCAACACAACAGAGUAAAAGCUAAUAGCCUUUUUGUUAUACCAAAACUGAAAGGAUUGGUAAGACUCAAAAUGAAUGCUAUUACUGAAAAUCUUCUUUUAUCUAAUUCUUUGUGCAGUGAGUGAAAAUUGAACAAAUACAUAUCCUUUUUAUGGUGUUAAAAUGAAUUCUGACACUAUUAAACAAAUAUUCUUUGGUCCUAA